UUAGCGGUGGUUACUGUAGUGAGCAAGUCUGCUCCUGUCAAGGGAGGAGUUUGGGCUAUAAAAAUGCAUUCGUCUCCAGCAUAGAACUUCUGAAAAGGAAUGGUCCAGAGCAAAAGUUGACAUCACUGAUCGGCAACAGACUCUGAGUUUAUUGCAAUAUUUCAAGUUAGCAUUGCAGCAUUUAGGAUUUACAGAGAGAAACAACUGUGUGUGGCAAAAGGUUGACACAAAUACAUCCAGCUUCCACAGUGAAGAAAGAAUGAAAGCCUACCUAUGCUUUAUCUUUGCAUCCGUAGUAUUUGGAGAUUUUACAGAGUUUGUUCUUCACGAAACCCUCUACACAGUACUGACAGGGAAUAAAGAACCAGCCAGGCUGCAUUGUUCUGUCGUUUGUGGAUGAUCUGCAGAUCGACUACUAUAACAGUUCAUCUAAAGUAGUGGAACUGCAGGAGUGGGCAAAGCAGCUUGCACCUGAUCACUAUGUACAGCACAAGUCAAAGGCUCACUCUUCAGAGUGUGAGAGGAUGAAAAAACAAUUAACUGAUGUUAUGGAACUCUUUAAACACAGUGCAGGUGCGCACAUGUAUCAAAGAAAGUUUGGUUGUAAAUGGGCUUCCGUAACCGGAUACACAGAGGGACUUGAUGAAUAUCGUUAUGAUGGAAAACAAUUCAUAGUUCUUAAAGUGAAAAAUGAUCCACCUGCCUAUAUUCACUCGUUGGAAGAGGCCAGAGCCGUAGCAGAAGCUUUAAACAACAACAAAUCACAGCUUAAAGAACAAAAUAACUACUACAAAAAUGAAUGUCCUAAAUGGCCAAAGAGGAUUGGCUCAAGAGGAAUCAGUGUUGUGGAGA
Long non-coding RNA from Colossoma macropomum (tambaqui), 852 nucleotides. RefSeq lists it as uncharacterized. NCBI's taxonomy places the organism in Eukaryota, Metazoa, Chordata, Actinopteri, Characiformes, Serrasalmidae. The transcript is spliced from 4 exons. The record is from RefSeq and is a predicted model, not a curated record.